This 358-nucleotide ribosomal RNA is filed under the name uncultured bacterium. Its description in RNAcentral is "partial 16S ribosomal RNA". It matches the Rfam family "Bacterial small subunit ribosomal RNA", at positions 338 to 710 of the family's 1533-position model. The record is from RNAcentral.
CCUACGGGUGGCAGCAGUGGGGAAUAUUGGGCAAUGGGCGCAAGCCUGACCCAGCAAAGCCGCGUGAAGGAAGAAGGCUUUCGGGUUGUAAACUUCUUUUCUCAGGGACGAAGAAAGUGACGGUACCUGAGGAAUAAGCCACGGCUAACUACGUGCCAGCCGCCGCGGUAAUACGUAGGUGGCAAGCGUUAUCCGGAUUUACUGGGGGUAAAGGGCGGGUAGGCGGGACUGCAAGUCAGAUGGGAAAACCACGGGCUCAACCUGUGGCAUGCAGUUGAAACUGGAGUUCUUGAGGGCUGGGGAGGCAGACGGAAUUUCUGGUGGAGGGGGGGAAAGCGGAGAAAUUAGGAGGGAAACC